This 451-nucleotide ribosomal RNA is filed under the name uncultured bacterium. RNAcentral describes it as "bacterial SSU rRNA". It matches the Rfam family "Bacterial small subunit ribosomal RNA", at positions 29 to 474 of the family's 1533-position model. The record is from RNAcentral.
AUUGAACGCUGGCGGCAUGCCUUACACAUGCAAGUCGAACGGCAGCACGGGGGCAACCCUGGUGGCGAGUGGCGAACGGGUGAGUAAUACAUCGGAACGUGUCCUGUAGUGGGGGAUAGCCCGGCGAAAGCCGGAUUAAUACCGCAUACGAUCUACGGAAGAAAGCGGGGGAUCGCAAGACCUCGCGCUAUAGGGGCGGCCGAUGGCAGAUUAGCUAGUUGGUGGGGUAAAGGCCUACCAAGGCGACGAUCUGUAGCUGGUCUGAGAGGACGACCAGCCACACUGGGACUGAGACACGGCCCAGACUCCUACGGGAGGCAGCAGUGGGGAAUUUUGGACAAUGGGGGAAACCCUGAUCCAGCAAUGCCGCGUGUGUGAAGAAGGCCUUCGGGUUGUAAAGCACUUUUGUCCGGAAAGAAAACUUCUGCCCUAAUACGGCGGGAGGAUGACG